GGGAUGUGUGUAUACCUAUGGCUGAUUCAUGCUGAGGUUUGACAGGAAACAGCAAAAUUCUGUAAAGCAAUUAUUCUUCUAUUAAAAAAUAAGUUAAAAAAAACAACUCAAGGUAUUAAGGUAGUCUGCAAAGAGACAAUAGGAUUUGAUUUGGUCCAGCGAGCCGGAAGGCAGAGGAACGCGGAAGUGACGUCAUUUGGAGGCGGAUGAGUUGAAGCUGGAGCUCUAAGACCCAGGCNNNNNNNNNNNNNNNNNNNNNNNNNNNNNNNNNCGGACGUUUUCUGCCCUCAGUUCCGCGACGCCCAGGUGCCGUGUCUGUGGGCUGUGCUGGUGUCCCUCUGGCCGUUCCCCCUUCGGUGGUCCUGGCUCCCUCCUGGGUGCGCCACCCAGAGCUCUCCCAGUUGCCGUCAUCUUAGGAGAGCGUAUGCUUCCUGUCUUCACUCUGUUCCCAGGCUCAGGGAAGCAGUAACUGGCCCAUGGCCCAGCAUCUCCCACACUCCCUCCAGCAGGACCUGCAGGGAAAGCGCACUCGGCCCCUGCAGGCGGCAUCAACGGGAUCAAACAGGAGCCCUGGUGGUGCCAGGCGAACACGGUGAACCGGAAGAACACUCUCUCGGCUCUGAGACCUGUGCUGUCAUUGGAGCCAGAGCGAAGAAAGCGAGCAGGGGCCUAGGCGCUAAACUAAACAGGGCGCCUGCUGCUGAAAGGAGAGACUUAGAUAGGGUCCAGAGUCUCGUCACUCAGUCCUCAAAACGUCCAGGGUACAGAGAUUCACCCAUCACACCAAGAGCCAGAAAAGUCACAACCUGAAUGAGACAAGGCAAUCAACUGAUAUCAGUAUAAAGAUAAACCAAAGAUUUGAAUUAUCUGACAAGGAUUGGACAGCAGCCAUAAUUAAGAAUUGCUUCAGGAGGAGGGACAAAUUGGAAGAUUAGAACUGACAUAUACUCAAUACUAUAUAUUUAAAAAGUAAGUAAUAACUGUGUACCCGGGGAAUUCUACUCAAUACUCUGUAAUGACCCAUAUAGGAAAAGAAGCUAACAAAUAAUAGAUAUAUGUAUAACCAAUUUACUCUGCUGUACAGCAGAAACUAACAAAACAUUGUAAAUCUGUGUUCCAAUAAAUAUUAAUUUAAAAAUUAAAAAUCCAAUUCUUAUUUCACUGAAAAAAAAUGCUUCAAUAAGCGAUUCUAAAUUAUCUCUAAACAAAUGACAAAAUAGAAAACUUCAGCAAAAACAUUU
This 1241-nucleotide long non-coding RNA is filed under the name Capra hircus (goat). Its description in RNAcentral is "lncRNA (ENSCHIG00010014661.1)". Lineage: Eukaryota; Metazoa; Chordata; Mammalia; Artiodactyla; Bovidae. The record is from RNAcentral.